AUUGAACGCUGGCGGCAGGCCUAACACAUGCAAGUCGAGCGGUAGCACAGAGAGCUUGCUCUCGGGUGACGAGCGGCGGACGGGUGAGUAAUGUCUGGGAAACUGCCUGAUGGAGGGGGAUAACUACUGGAAACGGUAGCUAAUACCGCAUAACGUCGCAAGACCAAAGUGGGGGACCUUCGGGCCUCAUGCCAUCAGAUGUGCCCAGAUGGGAUUAGCUAGUAGGUGGGGUAACGGCUCACCUAGGCGACGAUCCCUAGCUGGUCUGAGAGGAUGACCAGCCACACUGGAACUGAGACACGGUCCAGACUCCUACGGGAGGCAGCAGUGGGGAAUAUUGCACAAUGGGCGCAAGCCUGAUGCAGCCAUGCCGCGUGUGUGAAGAAGGCCUUCGGGUUGUAAAGCACUUUCAGCGGGGAGGAAGGCGGUGAGGUUAAUAACCUCAUCGAUUGACGUUACCCGCAGAAGAAGCACCGGCUAACUCCGUGCCAGCAGCCGCGGUAAUACGGAGGGUGCAAGCGUUAAUCGGAAUUACUGGGCGUAAAGCGCACGCAGGCGGUCUGUCAAGUCGGAUGUGAAAUCCCCGGGCUCAACCUGGGAACUGCAUUCGAAACUGGCAGGCUAGAGUCUUGUAGAGGGGGGUAGAAUUCCAGGUGUAGCGGUGAAAUGCGUAGAGAUCUGGAGGAAUACCGGUGGCGAAGGCGGCCCCCUGGACAAAGACUGACGCUCAGGUGCGAAAGCGUGGGGAGCAAACAGGAUUAGAUACCCUGGUAGUCCACGCCGUAAACGAUGUCGAUUUGGAGGUUGUGCCCUUGAGGCGUGGCUUCCGGAGCUAACGCGUUAAAUCGACCGCCUGGGGAGUACGGCCGCAAGGUUAAAACUCAAAUGAAUUGACGGGGGCCCGCACAAGCGGUGGAGCAUGUGGUUUAAUUCGAUGCAACGCGAAGAACCUUACCUGGUCUUGACAUCCACAGAACUUUCCAGAGAUGGAUUGGUGCCUUCGGGAACUGUGAGACAGGUGCUGCAUGGCUGUCGUCAGCUCGUGUUGUGAAAUGUUGGGUUAAGUCCCGCAACGAGCGCAACCCUUAUCCUUUGUUGCCAGCGGUCCGGCCGGGAACUCAAAGGAGACUGCCAGUGAUAAACUGGAGGAAGGUGGGGAUGACGUCAAGUCAUCAUGGCCCUUACGACCAGGGCUACACACGUGCUACAAUGGCAUAUACAAAGAGAAGCGACCUCGCGAGAGCAAGCGGACCUCAUAAAGUAUGUCGUAGUCCGGGUUGGAGUCUGCAACUCGACUCCAUGAGGUCGGAAUCGCUAGUAAUCGUAGAUCAGAAUGCUACGGUGAAUACGUUCCCGGGCCUUGUACACACCGCCCGUCACACCAUGGGAGUGGGUUGCAAAAGAAGUAGGUAGCUUAACCUUCGGGAGGGCGCUUACCACUUUGUGAUUCAUGACUGGGGUGA
This 1463-nucleotide ribosomal RNA is filed under the name uncultured Klebsiella sp. RNAcentral's name for it is "bacterial SSU rRNA". It matches the Rfam family "Bacterial small subunit ribosomal RNA". Lineage: Bacteria; Pseudomonadati; Pseudomonadota; Gammaproteobacteria; Enterobacterales; Enterobacteriaceae. The record is from RNAcentral.